UAUAAAUAAGAAAGAAUACCCCUCCCUAUCUUACAAGAAGAAUAAAGAAUAAAUACAAAUAUGAAAUGAAAGGUACAAACAAAAUGAAGCCUGAAAUUUUUCCUCGAAAAUACAAAUAUGACUUUGCUAAUACUAUAAUAGCAAAGUCAUAAACCCUAACCACAAGCUGCUCACAGCAAUCAAAAAUUCAAGGAAGACCUCUAUUAUCUCUUGAUGUUCUAGAUAAAGGAACCCUUUUUCACAAUUAUUUUAAGAUAUAAAAUAAGAAAACCCAAGACUUUCAGCAACUUUCAAUAAAAACUGAAUUUAAAAGAGAAAUUAAUUGUAAUUGUAAUUAUAGAGAGAAGUAAUCAAGCAAAUAUUCAAAUACAUAUAUACAAAAACUAAAUAAAAAAAAGAAUAUAGAAAUAGAAGAAGAAACACUAGUAGAACAGAGAGAAAACAUACCUGAAAGUCGAAGAAAGUUGCGGGCUACGGCUAUGUCUUUGCGAACGGCGAUAAUCAUGGCGGCUGUGGUGUUACAACAGAGCAGAAAGUCUCUCUGAAGAGAAAGUGGCACUGAAAUAAUAGGGUUAGCAUAGCGGGUUAGGGACUUAACUCUUAAGUGAAGGAAAGGGUAUCUUUUUACUAUAUCUUAUCGGUUUAUGGAUAAACCGAUAAACCGAAGAGGACAAAUCGAAAUCAAUAACUCGAUAAGGUAAUUUUCGAAAUUGAAAUCGAAAUCGAUUCGAAUGCACACCCCUAGUGCUUUUUAUCAACUGAGAAAAAUCUUACAAAAAUAUUAUACUUAGAUUAUUUUCAACAAUCAAUAGCAUUAGACGUAGAAUAGAAACAAAUCCAAGCAUGGUUAGAAUUGCAACUAAAACCAACAUGCAUAGCUAACUUAUAUAGAAGCCCAACUCUCAACCAAUAUUAACUCCCAAUGGAUAUCGAUCCCGACCUUUCGGGUAAAAGCUGCAUCAAUCACUCAUCGCCAUUAUAUAGUGGUGCAAUGUUGGAGGUGAUCACAGAUCCUGAGCCUUCCUCUCUCUCUCCCCUUGGCCAGCAAUAAUAACUAUUUCUCCCCACCUUUGGCCCCCGGUUCCCCAUACAGACUACCAAAAAUAAUAUUAGCCUCCAUGAUCGCCAACUUCGCCUCUUUCCUAGCUACCUUAUAUCUCUUUUUGCUUGCUCUCAUCUCCUCCUCGCAUGUGCUCUACUAACUUCAGGUACGCCGCCUUAUUCGCUUUCACUUUACCUUGAACCCCUUUCGGUCACCUUUGUGCCUCCAGGAGUAACCCAUCGAGAAGGGGCUAUCACUGCUACCACUAGUGAAGCCCUAACAAAAGCAAAGAAGAGAAAAAAGGAGGAAAAAACAAUGGGGUAAUGGCCGAAUAGGCUAACACACAAGUAAAAAAAGAGGAGAAAAAGAAGGGAAAGAAAGGGAGGGGCCGACAGGGAGGGACAAUAAAGGGGAUGGGACUGCAGAAGCCGGAAUAGAGGUCAUCGGCGGGAUAACAUUCACCAGAGUAGGCAACUAGUAUUAGGUUAGGGGUUGAGAGGAGAGGGGGGCGAAGCAAGAAGAAAUAAAGAAGGGAGUGAAAGGAGUGGUAGAAGAGAUGACAGGAGAGAGAGCUGAGGGUGGUCGGAAUUCUUAUCUAGUUGCCGGCAUCGGCACCUGUAGGGUUCCGGGAGAAGAUGACCAAUGGGGUUCUUAUCGCAGAGAGGGGGGAGAGAGAGAGUCAGGGAGAGAGAAAAGGAUCCUUAGAAAAAGUACAUAAAAGCCACCUUGGUAAGAAGAGAGAAAAGAGGGGUCGUUGACUCCGAGAUGAAGAGGCCGUCACUCAGUCAAUGUGAGUUGUCGGUCGUCACCUGUUGCCGGAUGAAGUUCAUAAAAGACAAAAGGUUUGCCACAUCGGGAAUUCUGAGAGGGCAUUCUUCUAAGUUAUCA
This 1930-nucleotide long non-coding RNA is filed under the name Nicotiana benthamiana. RNAcentral describes it as "long non-coding RNA (NBEN_LNC035880)". The record is from RNAcentral. Lineage: Eukaryota; Viridiplantae; Streptophyta; Magnoliopsida; Solanales; Solanaceae.